UGGAACUUCUGGUCUACCACUCCUGACUGCUUUCUCCAGUCUUCCCAUUCUCAGCAAUGCGAAUCCAUUCUUGUAGCUCCUCUGGCCAGGGGUCAAGUCUGGUGUGUGUUGAUGACCUACAGCACUUGACAAGGGCCCAGAACAAAUGCUCUGUGAAGAUGUCUUCGACUGAAGAGAACCCUGCCUCUUCCCACUCUCCUCUCUCCACCAAGCGCAAGAGGUCAGGAGGCCAGAGGCCACCUCACCCUACCCGGCAGGUCUGGGAACGCCACGUGCCCCUUCUGUGCUCAGAGACUCCAUUUUUAAAAUGGUAUCAAGGGAACCA
Suricata suricatta (meerkat) is the source of this 325-nucleotide long non-coding RNA. RefSeq lists it as uncharacterized. NCBI's taxonomy places the organism in Eukaryota, Metazoa, Chordata, Mammalia, Carnivora, Herpestidae. The record is from RefSeq and is a predicted model, not a curated record. The transcript has 2 exons.